Non-coding RNA from Hordeum vulgare subsp. vulgare (domesticated barley), 135 nucleotides. NCBI's taxonomy places the organism in Eukaryota, Viridiplantae, Streptophyta, Magnoliopsida, Poales, Poaceae. The record is from Rfam.
CAUAUACUCCCUCCGUCACAAAAUUCUUUUCUUAGGUUUGUUUAGAAAUGGAUGUAUCUAAAUACUAAAAGUGACUAGAUACUUUCAUAUCUAGACAAAUCUAAGACAAUAAUUUUUUGACGGAGGGAGUAUAUA